AACGAAGGAGGCGAGCGUUAUCCGGAUUCACUGGGCGUAAAGCGCGUGCAGGCGGUUCGGUAAGUUGGGCGUGAAAUCUCCUGGCUUAACUAGGAGAGGUCGUCCAAUACUACCGGGCUAGAGAGUGGUAGAGGAAGAUGGAAUUCCCGGUUUAGUGGUGAAAUGCGUAGAUAUCGGGAGGAACACCAGUGGCGAAAGCGAUCUUCUGGACCAUUUCUGACGCUCAGAAGCGAAAGCUAGGGUAGUAAACGGG
RNAcentral lists this ribosomal RNA (253 nucleotides) under uncultured bacterium. RNAcentral's name for it is "partial 16S ribosomal RNA". It matches the Rfam family "Bacterial small subunit ribosomal RNA", at positions 524 to 776 of the family's 1533-position model. The record is from RNAcentral.